UCGUACGGCCGAUAUUGUGUUUCCUUUAAUGGUCAAACUCAACCCACACCCCGCCCAUUUCGCUACCGAAGAAAAAGUCAACAGCGUAAGCCAUUCUCCUCCCGCAACGUAGCCCUACGUCUCAUGUCUCCCAAUCACGUCUUGACACGUUUCGCACGAUUCCUUCUCCCUCCCUCCCUGCCGACCUCGCCUCUUUCAUGACCCCAAACAAGUCGUACCAAAGCUUGCCCAUUUGCACCCGCCCCCCACUCGUACCGUCAUCAUUCAUUACCACACCAUCACUUCAAAUUUCUACCCAACAAACCACUAUGCAAGCAUUCUUCUUGUAGGUUAAUCCGUUGAUAUAUAGAGACUGAGUCGCUACUUGUAGAUGCGAGCGCUUCACAAUCUGAGGGAAAUCAAAUCCUCGUUGAUUUCUAAAGGCGAGACUGGCGUGUGCAGAAGAAUAUAUAUAUAUAUAUAUAUAGUUUGCCAAAAUGAGAGGAUCUGAUGUUGCAGAUCUGAGUGAUGAAAAAAGAGAAAGGCAUUACGGCCAUUUUGGGUUGAUUUCUGCAGAAGAAAGGGACAGGAGAGUUAACAGAGAUUGACAGAAGAGAGUGAGCACAUGCUGCAAGCAAUUGUAUGAGGCCAUACAUAUGCGGGUGCGUGCUCACUUCUCUUUCUGUCAGUUUCUCUCUUUCGUGUGUGUUUCUCUCUGUGUUCCUUCUUCUUCUUCAGAUUGCUUUCCGCAUCCCAAUCCUUCCUAUCCUUAUACUCGUCAGCUCUUUCUCGUGAGCUAGCCAGCGAAAGAGUUAUACACCUUUACCCGAAUCAGAGAGCUCUCGAUCUCGGCAAUGAAAACCCUUUGAAACGACGCGUCGAUUGCGUUUUUGGCACAUCAAAACUUUUUAUUUUGUGUUACCUUGUCGUGUCUAAAGCUUAUGUGGCGCUUGACCAAUCGCAGAAAUACAGGUUAAAUGAAUGAAGGUAAACAAAUUAAAGCGUGUAGGGCUGAUAACUUCUUUUGGGCACUGUUUUUCACGACGGACAUGAUGGUAGGGCUUCUCAUCCUUAUCUCUUCGAAUACUUUAUUCAUUUUCUUUAUUAUUAUUUAUUCAUAUUUAUGCGAGUUUUCAAUUCAUUUUAUGUAUUAUUAUAUUUGUUCAAAGUUCAAACGGAAUGAAGCUUCACAGCGUUGUUUUUAAGGGUGUACUUCCUCCUUCCUUUAGUGGAACAUAAAACCCAAAUUCACUUCUAAGCGUUACUGUUCAUAUCAUAACGGAAAUCCGUAUGUUUUGAUUUGGUUGGGCUUAUUUACUCAUCAAACCCUUAUUUUGUACCUCUCUUCUCUCUUCGACUUUAAUCUGGACCAGAAGUUUUUUAACUUUCCGUUCGCCUAAGACACCGGAGCUUGGAGAGACCGGCGAAGAAUCAUGGGGAUUACUGAAGUAGCGAUGGACAGGCAACAGAAAGCAAAAGAAAGCCGUUUUGGUAGGUGCAUAAUCACAUAAUUAUGGAAGAUUUGGCUCUAUAUUCUUCAUGGAAAAUAUGCAUUUAUUGGCUUACAGAGAAGUUUUUUGAGGUUUGGGGGCGCCGAACUGCUGCGUCCGGGAUUAUUCUGUGCUUCAAAGGAACUCUCUUUGUGCCUAAGGCAAUGGGAAGGACCAAUGCCUCUUUCACUAUGAGAGGUGUUGGUGUCAACCAAGUGCUCGCCUUGGAGUGGCUUUUGUUCUUUUAAUUGAUUCAUUCGGUGUUAUUAAAGCAAAAGGCGCACUCAAUGCACAAGGCUGGUAAAACGCCUUAGGUGCAAGGCACUAGAAAGGUGCAUGCUCGAGUGAAGUAAUGUGCCACCAUGUCAAAAUGCACAUGUAUAGACAAAAAAUCAAAGAUGAAAUGAUAAAUGUAAAUUUACUUAACCUUCAUAUGAAUGCUCUUAAAAAUUGUGUCCUAUGAAAAAAACAUAGAUAAAAGUAGCAAUCAUUUUAUGCAUCAUGAAUAAAUACUCCAGGAAAUUGCAAUUAGGCACCAAGAGGCUCUCACCUUUUGCUCAAGAAAGGUUCAUAAGGUGUUGAAAGGCUAGCGCCUGAUUAAAUCCAUUACCUCUCUUCACGUGUAAUGAUCCAAAAAAUUUAAAUUUUUUUCUUUUUUAUUAAUAUUUUAUUUAAUUAUUUUAGUUUAUAGCACAUGAGAAGUAUUGGUUUAAUGAAAUUUAUAUUGAUUACUUAUGUGAAGAUUUAAAAUUUAAAUUUUAUUUAAGUCAAAUGUUAAAUGUUAGUUUUAUUUUCUUUUAUAUGAAAAAAGUACUAAAGUGCCCUUACCUCUUGUUGAAAAAAAAAAACUUCAAAAUUCUUCAAUUAAAAUGUUUUGGAAGGUUACUGUGAAUGAGGUUUGAACAUAUGGUGAUUUGCGAAAUGUCUUGAUGACGAGAACAUUUCUAUCUGCUAUGCAUUCGCGUAAAAUACAUAUACACAUACAUACAUACAUACAUAUAAUAAUGUUAAUAUUAAUAAUAGGAAAAUCUGAUGGGGUCCCUUUUUGUAAUUUUGUCCACCAACCUUGAUGUUUUAUUUCUCCUUUCUUCUUAGUCGGUGAGUUUACAGAACAGACUGAGAGAGAGAGAGAGCUUGCGGGGGUUCUUCGUUUUCUUCUCUUCCUGUCGCACUAGCUUCAAACUUAUUGUCAGUGUGCUUGACUCCUCACCGCCGGCAGUUCGUUCGUUCCUUUCCCUCUGCUGUUCGCUUGUUUUUGCUUGUGGGAUGGUUGAAUCUCUUCCCCAUUUCUGCUCUGUUUCGUGACUGACGAAGCGUCGGCACGUUUGAUUUAUAGCUGUUGCCACUGUAGUUUCGUUAGAGGUGAGUGGUCAAGCUUUAUAAAUUACAAAGAGCAAGCUGUCUAGGAAUUAAACAUGGAUAGUGGAGGUGAAUAUGUAAGCAGUCCAGGAACUACCUAACUGCAGUACCAAAAAGAAGAUAUAGAAGCUAACUAUUCAGCUUUACGUUGAGGUAAAAGAUUAUUUGUGUUAUUCAAUUUACUCGACUAAAGCCACAGUGAUUUUUCUUGUGGUACUAGUUACUCUAUUUGCACAAUUAAAAUAGAUAAUGCAAUAACCUAAGAUGGCAACUACUUAUUACUCAACUUAUUAUGUGAGCAAAAUAUUUCUAAUUAGGACCUUCCAGUUUUGUUGAUGAGGGCAUCUUCUAAAACUUGAUUUUGAUCUUCAUGGUAUUAAAAGAACAGUGCCAGUCUUUAAUCAAUGUGAUGAAGAUUUAGAAAUAAGUUUUUUUCCCCCCCUCACUUGAACUUACCCCUUUAAACCCUUUUCAGGUUGGGUUGUAGACAAAACCUUAUUAACAUUAUUUGGAUUUUAGAACUUUUUUUGCUGGGUAUUCUUGAUUUUAGAAUCUUUAACCAGUAAAAUUAGGGUGGGUGAGAAGAACCGAGUACUUUACCCCUUAGCCGUGAAGGUUUUGAUGUGAUUUUGAGGAACCGGUCUUCCAAAUCCUGGAAGAAUCAAUUGUAAGGUGGUGAUGUCAUUUCUGAUUUAUUCAAAGGCAAUUAUGCUUUCUUUUUCUGAUGCUCUUAUGACACCUAUAACGAGACAUAUAAAUCUAACCAAGGAGCCAGAAACAUUCAACUAAGUAAGUUGGGAUUGGAGUAUCAAAACAAAAUCUCUUAUUAAAUUUUCAACUCAGUUAAUUCAUCUACAUGUGAAACUUGGAAAAUAUUAUUUCAUGUGAAGGUCACAAAUGUUAUGGAGGUGCUUGUGUGAUUUAAUCUCAAAAGAACUUCUUUUUACUCUUAUGUGGUCAUAUGGAAGUGCUCAAGCAGCAUAAUCUUGAGUCCGGUAUUUGCAUUUUUUCUGAGGUAAUGUAGAAAAAUGAAAACUAUGCGCCCUUGAGUUUCUUGCUGGAAGUGCAUAUAUGAUUAAUGUCUCUAUAGUGAGUUUUUUGUGCUCUCUCUCUCUCUCUAUAUAUAUAUAUAUUGAUGUGCCUGUUUGGGUAAUGACCAAUAUAAUGAUGAUACAUAACAUUUAUUACAUCAUUAUGAUGCGUCGUUUGAUUAAGCAUUGGCAAGAGGGGUUGUGUGGUUUAAAAUAUUUGACAUAGUUUGACUCUUCAUUGAUAUUUGCUGUAUCUCGGUUUAAUGUAAUGAAAUCUAAUUAACUUCUUAUUGGCGUACUUGAAUAUGUGAUACACACACUAUACGUUAAAUUGAUUAUUUUUUACAUGAGUUUCAAAAGGUUGAUAUUUUUAACAUGUAAGUUGGGUUCUAGAAGUGGCUUUAUUUGGUGCUAUCAAUUUUUUGCCUCAGUACUUUUUUCUAAAAAAUAAUUAAAGUGGAAUUUCUCUUCUCCAGGGAGAUUUUUUCAAGGUCUUUAGUGGUCAAGGUAUUCUGGUCAUCAGUAUUUUUUCUUUAUUGAGUUAGAGUUCAGUUUUCUCUUAAUUAUGUGAAACAAAUUAUGGAACAUAAUAACGUAGAAUCACAUGCACCUCCGGAGAAAUUCAGAUUACACCCUUAGCAUUGUAAAGCUUCUUUGUAUAUUGAAUGAACCUUAAUUGGCUUUGAAGAAAUUGUUGUGUUGGAAACUAAAGAUUCCAGAACAGUAAACAUAAAACCCAAUAGACAGACACUUCAAAAGAGUUUUGUUGGUUCUUUAACUCUCAAAGAUACUGUGUUGCAUUUUGUCAUUUAUGGGGACACUUUAAAUUUAGGUGUGUUCAUAGUUAUAGGUGCUUGCCUCACUGCCUGAGGCAUUGAAGCAAGGUGCUGAAGAAGUGCUGACUCUCACAUCAUGAGAUAUGUUGGCUUCAAUUGUGACACUUAUAUUAGCAUCAGCAAAGGCAAGCACCUGAGGUAUCUUGAUAUAUAGUUGAAUGGCUGAAAUAAGAAAUAAGAUUAAAUUAGAAAGUAUUGCUUUGAAAGUAUGAUGGGUAUUUAAAUGUGGUGGGAAACCCUCUCCAAAAAAUGCUAGCUAUAGUAAUGGGAGAAUUAACUCAUGUAAAUGCCUCGUUAAACAUCUCAUACUAGUAAAAGUGGGACAUAGUCAUCCAUACUAUCCGAGUCUCUGUCAGAAUAAGGUUUAUAUAAUUUUCAUUCUCACUCAAAAAAAUAGUGAUGCAACUAGUUUUUUGGGGUUUUGUUAACAGACAAGCAAAACAAAGCUUUUAUUUCUUUUUCUUUUUUUAGAACUAAGAAAAAAUCACAGGAGAACUCUACAACGAUCCUAGUUGAUGAAUCAAAGUCUCUAUUCCUCUUGGCAAUUUUUUUUUUAUCAAUCUUUAAAUGCCAAGGAACCUAACUGCCUUUAACAAGCCAAUCCACACGAGCUUUCCCCUCCCGCAUGGUAUGGCAAGCUCUGAGUACUUUGCAAAAGAUAGCAUUGGAUGUGUUUCCAGGUAAAAUUAUCUCUUCAACCUCAUUAGAGAUGAUUCAUGAUCACAUUAGAUAAUGAAAUGAACAAUACCCAAUGAUUUCAUAAGUUGAAAGCCAUGCGGCAAAAAAAAGUUUGUUAUUAUGCUUGAAUCUGUACUGAUAAAAUUGAAAAUUAUCAGUCUAACGUUGCGUAUUCAUAUUUGUUUAUUUCAUGUAACAUUUCUAGUAUUUUCCCUUAUUUAGUAUCUCACCUCACUUGAGCUGUCUAGCUAGUGCCUUUUACUUUUAACCGCACUUCUAAGUUCCAGACCUUGUAAACCUCUUAAGCUUGCUUUGAAAUCUUUGCUGUUUCCUGUCGUUUAAAAGGUUAAUGGACAUCCAAUCUCAAAUAGAAAGGCCUUCUUUGUUAAUGAAAUUGUUACUGAACGAAAAAAUGAAUUAAUGAAACAUCACUAUUGCAUCAGUCAGGGUUUCAAAACUAGUUUGCGUAAUACUGGUGGUUUCAUCUCCAAACCGUUAGGAUUUUCCCAAGCAACUCAUGUAAUUAUGAUAUUGAACUCUCUAUGAUGCCUUUAUAUAUGUAUUUAAUCUACCUAAAACGAUACGAUCCUGUAACCAAUGCUCACACAGUUUAUUUGAUCGGAACAUAUGCAUUGCCAUAAGCAUGUUCUUUGCUCUUUCACAAUCUUAUCAUUUGUGAAUUGUUGGUACUCGCAUUGAUGUUAAGCCUCUGUUUAGUUUGGUUGUCCAAUUUCACUUCUUAUACAGUAAUAUAUUAAAUUCAAAUUCUAUCAAUUUAAUUAUGUUUGGCCAAAAGUGGUCAAGCUAAUAAACCUCUGUCAUAACACCUGGAUUUAUUUUGAUUACUCCAUUGAUAUGAUGCUCAGUGUACUCUUCCGUGUAGUUCCAUGUAGCUUCCUUUUUUCUCCUUUUUUGCAAUUUCAAUAAUCAUGUUGUGCGUGAAAAAAAGAUAGUUUUGUUCUCAUCAUGGUUACUUGUUUGCUGUAUGCAUGACUUGGAAUGGAACUUGAUAAAGCAUGAUAAGAAACAACAAGCAGCGGGGUCGACUGCAUGAUCGCACAGUACCAUUUGUGCUCUAGCUAUCAACAAACAACUCUCUGAAAAUAUUGCCAGCAAAAAAUUGUGCUCUAUCAAGCAUGAUAACAAAGGGCAGGGAAAAUGUGUGAGGUUCAAGCAUUGCUAUCUGUCCCAUUUCAGUAGUUCAUUUGGGUUGGGGCCGAAAGAAACAGUUGAAUAAUGCAAAUGUUGCUGGCUAUUGGCUUCUGCAUUAUAGAGUGGGGAAAUCCUUUGAAUGAAAGAUGAUGAUGGAUUCAUAUGAAGUUAAUCAACAAAUGACAAUGGAUUACAGGUAGGUUAGUUUUAAGAUUCAUUAUAGGAGGCAAGGUUCUUUCUCCUUAAAUGACAACUGUAUCGUUAGGUUUAAGAUUAGUACCCUUACUGUUGUUCAUUUGACCAAGAACGAUUACAAAUUGCUUGUUAUUUUGGCUAGGGUUUUAGUAUAUUACAUGGGUAUUUAGGUUUCAAAGUGAUUUAGAAUUCAUGUUAAGCUUGUGGCUCAAAAAGUAUUUACAGAUGUAUUUAUAGAUUACUUACCAACUAGUAGGUAGGAUUGAUGAGUUGCAAGAUGUCUCAUCGAAUUAUAUUGUUAAUAGGCCGUGAAUAUUACGAUUCUAUAGAUUUGAUUAGGUCUUCACGGCAAGACCGGAAUCCUUGUUUCAUGGGAUGAAAGCUAAAUUCUUUCCAACUCAAUCCUGGCUGAAGGGAGUCAUCCAUAGGUUUGGUUUUAUGGAGGGGACCAAACUCAUUGCAAAAAUGAUGUAUAAAUGUAGCACUUCAGUUUUGUACCGAUACGGCUAUUUAGAUUGUGCAAAACUCGAAGAACCUAGCAAUCUCUUCUCUGUCCGGUCUGAAUCGGGCAACAUGAAAAACCGAGUGGAAUAUUUUCAGCAAUUCUAUUCUCUCUGUUUUUGUUGUC
Molecule: long non-coding RNA, 7348 nt
Organism: Prosopis cineraria
Lineage: Eukaryota; Viridiplantae; Streptophyta; Magnoliopsida; Fabales; Fabaceae
Exons: 6
Source: RefSeq, a predicted model, not a curated record